This 117-nucleotide non-coding RNA is filed under the name Homo sapiens (human). Lineage: Eukaryota; Metazoa; Chordata; Mammalia; Primates; Hominidae. The record is from Rfam by way of RNAcentral.
GCCAGGCGCGGUGGCCCACGCCUGUAAUCCCAGCACUUUGGGAGGCUGAGGCGGGUGGAUCACUUGAGGCCAGGAGUUUGAGACCAGCCUGGCCAACAUGGUGAAACCCUGUCUCUA